RNAcentral lists this long non-coding RNA (4456 nucleotides) under Zea mays. RNAcentral describes it as "long non-coding RNA (ZMAY_LNC004555)". The record is from RNAcentral. Lineage: Eukaryota; Viridiplantae; Streptophyta; Magnoliopsida; Poales; Poaceae.
GACUCUUCAUAGCACAAUGCUUCGAAUAACAAUAAAGAAUAAAUAAUGAUAUUAAAUACUAGAGUCAUUUACAUAAUAUGAAUCAAAGUACACAGAAUAGAAACGUAGCUAACGUAAAUAAACCCAACACAGGCAGCUGAUUGGGGGUGAUCGCUAGCCUAAUCCUCGAACUCGUCGAAGUCCUGGAACUCCUGGAGAUCCGCCUCGACGCCUUCUUCUUUACCUGAGCAUAGAUUGCACCAAAGGCAACCUGGUGUUUUGUGAAAGCAAGGGUGAGUACACAUCAACGUACUCAGCAAAUGUCCUGUUUGGCUGAAGUGGACUAGCUUUAUGUGGGGUUAAGGUCGAAGCAGAUUGCUUUUAAUUGGUCAGGUAUUUAUUAUUAAUGGAAGCCAAGUUUUAUCAUAUAACCAACCCAUGAACCAUUUCCUCAUCGAGGAAACCUCAUUAUCAUCAUCGAACCGAAAUAAUAAAAAGAACCAUUGUAUCUCGAACCAUCGGUAUCUCUAAUCAAAGAGGAUCCCAAGGCCGCUCAUAACCGUGAGCACGGCUGAUAUAUCAGUUUCAUUACCCUCUGCAGAGGUCGCACACUUUACCCAUGAGCCGUGAUUCCCGUUUUGCCCGGGGAUCAUGACUCCCCAUUGAUCACUUCCUAGGUGGUCCGGCAGGGUAUCACUACGUAGCCUUUACAAAGAUUCCCUAGAGGUCAUAGUCGCCCGUUAGGUUUCUCCAGUUUGAUAAACACAGUACCUCUCCCCGCAGGAGAGUGACUAACAAAAGCAAAACGAAAGAACCUCGGCACUCAGCCUCGGCAGAGCAAGCACUGUGUCUGGACCCCAUUGACGGCAUGACGGCGAAGCAACUACACCUAUAGUUCCUCUAAUUAAUUAGCUAAGGGCAUCCCAUUUCACCCUCAUGGUUGCACUGUUAUCCCGGGUGGUCUCUCAACGAACAGGUCCUUACGGAGAGGUACUCGAGAAACCGUCCGAGUCCCCUAAAUGCCACAAGUCCAACAUCAUAAUCAUAGAGACAACAUCGUAUCAUAAAUGUUCACAUCAUGUUCAUUGAUUAAAGUAAAGCAAUAGCAUGAAGUUAACCAUAAUAAUCCAAAAGGUAAUCAAGGACAAGGUAAAUACAAAGCUAGUCAAUCCUUGUUGAUCAUGGUAUGCGGGUUGAUGAAUUAUAAAGUAAAUGGGACAUAAUAGGUCAGAGGACACUUGCCUUCACCAAACAGAUGCUCAGGAUCUUCAACCUCAUAAAACUCAGAGAGCUUGAUCACUUGGUCGCCGACGCUUGAUCGUCGAUUCCUCGGAGCGCGGAAACAAAUCGCGAUCUAAUCGCAACGCGAAGCGAAGACAAACAGGAACGAACAAACAAACAUAUAUGCAUAAGAACAUUACACCAUACAAAGGAAAAUAUAAUAAAAUAUGCAAAACGAAAUAGAGCGUGUUACUACGGUCACACGAGGGAAAAGAAACGCGACAGGCGGAGCUAUGAUCGAGAGGUUAUCGCGUCUACACUAAACGAGUAUUAAUCAUAACAUUUAGUUUGACCUGAUUAUAUUAAUCGAUAUUUAUUUAAAAUGAAACUAGAGCUAUCGCACAGUUUUAAUUAGCUGACCACACUAACAAUUCUUAGUUAAAUAAGUAAUUUAAAUAACAUCAGCGACUCUAAGCGGGACGAAUUAGUGGAGUGAGACGAAAUACGUAAUGCGUGAAACAACACGACUGCACGAGACCUAGCGCGCGCACCACGCGCGACAAGCGCGAACAACGUGACGACGACGAACUCAACACGACAGCGUGCAAACGACGCGCGGACACGCACGACAUAGCACGCUGACGACACACGAAACAACACGCGCGACCAUCGCGAACGAGAAUGCCACCACGUGCGGAACAGCACACGCGACAGGUGAUAAAACUAAAUAGGUGACACGUUUAUACUAAACCAAUGUUAAAUAUAUAAAGUAGUUAAGUUAAUAUUUGCUAUGUUAAUAUUUAUUAUAAAAGAUUAAGUGGAACACUACACAUUUAAUCUAGUUAGCAUAUUAAUCUAAUAACCAUUAGUCGAGCGAUAUUAAAUAAAUUAUUUAAAAUAUAUGACCUGAUAAAUUAAUGUUAUUUAACCUAAGUGAUUAUAAGCGGAAGAAAUUUACCAUCACGAGCAGGCGCCGCGCGACCCACGUGAUCGACACGCGAGACGCGCGACACACGCGAAAGGCGUGUGAAAACGCAUGAAUGGCACACGCGAUGCACGCACAUGACGUGUGACGACACGUGAUACUGUACGAAGCAGCGCGCGGCCGGCAAGCGAUACAAUGCGCACGACAACGCGCGAGUCAACGUGACUACGCGCGUGAACAGCGCGAUGUCGCGCAAACGACGCUGCGCGAGAACAACAAAUGGAUAAUUAAUUAAAAGUAUUUAAGCCGGCAUUAAUCAAGUUAAUUAAUAUUUAUAUUCAUAACAGCACGAGUUAAAACUAUAGACUCGUUCUAGUUAAACUGUUAUCUUAAGUAGCAAACGACUAAACAAUAAUUGACUAAUUAGCGCGAGCGACAAUAGCGGAGAUAAUUAAAUAACGCGCUGACAACGCGCGAGACCCACGCGAUCGACAAGAGAUGACACCCGUUGCGACAUGUUUCUACUAACAAGCAUAAAUUCGAUAAUAUUCGAGCAGGCGUAAUUAUAUUAACAAGUAUCUAUAAAGUGAAUCAAAGUAUACGUUAGUUUGAUUAGAUUGCUACUUUUAGUAACUGUCGGAUAAAUAAAUAAUCGAUUAAUUAGCUAAAACGCGUAUCACGGUGAAAUAAUGUCAUCAACACGAUGGCGACGAGGUUAUGAAGUUAACGCGAUUAAAGCGAGUCGAAACGGAUUUACGACAUAUGGUUUAUUGAAUAGGUAACAAUUCACGAAUGAUAAACGAUGCAACAUAUGAGAACCGCUAAACACACGUCAUAAUCACACUAAGUAAUGUUGAAUCAAAACAUUUGAUUACUAUUAAUCAUAUUAACGUUUAUUUAUAAAUGCAUAAAUUAAAACUAUAAAUUAGAUUUAAUUAGAAGGUCGUUCUAAUAACCACUAAAUGAAUAAUUAAUUAAUUAUAACAUGUGUCACGACAAAACAAUGUUACUAAUAUGCACUUUAUUUGUUAUAAAGUUAACGCUACUGAAACGGGUCAAAGCGGAUUUAUAAUGCGAAAAGAUAUGAAUAGUUACCGAAUUGAGCUAUGUGGCGCAAUAUAAUUGGUUGAGGGAUUAACCACCUAGUGGGCCAUAAGAACCUGUCCAUAGAAAAUCCUGCACGGUAGAAGUGGCCAAAGAAAAGUCCUAAAACGUGGCCACGUUCCCUGGGGUUGUUUUCAUGCAUGCGCCCAAGAGGUUUCUCACGGCAUGCAUGAGCACAUGGGUGGGCCCACCAGCCGUUUCUCACACGGUUUCUUCGUUUUCUGGCUCUGCCCGGACGAAACGAAUCGCACCAGCGGUCCCUCUUCUUCCUUCGACCUUCUUGGACCAACCAACACAGCCACAGCAAGGGAGAGAAAGAAGGAUGCCCUCUACCGUCCGGCUAGGCUUCGCCAUUGGGCUGCUCGGCCAAUCGCCGCCAACUCGCUGGCCGGAUUGACGACAGCGCAUGACCGGGCGCGCAGCAAGACCAGGAACAAGGCGUUUAGCGGCACAUGGCUGGGAGCUAGCGUUCGGUGAUGUGCAAAGCGGGUGGGACGCGGACCUCGUGGGCUGGAUGCGACCAGCAGCGGCGGAGGCCGGAGCGGUGCUACAACGCGCGGCUGGGGCAGGAAGCCCGCGAGUAGCGGCUCUACAGCGACGCUGGCGUUGCUCGGCUCGCUGGGGCAAGACGGCGAAGCACGACCAGACCGCGGGAGCAGGGACGCACGUGUGCAGGGAAGGAAGGGAGAGAGGAGAGCUCACCUCGGCAACGGCUCCACGCAGGCUCCUCGGCGGACGACGUCGAGUGCGGGCGAGACAGCUCUGCUGUCAUCCAGAGCAGGCGACUGGCACUCGACCGACGCAAGGGCAUCACCGGAGGACCGAGAUCGGCUGGGAUGGGGAUGGCCGCCGCCAUGGCCACGGCUAGGGGCUGCAGCCGGCCGGCUGCCGUGCGUAGAGGCCCAUCCCUGCCUUGCUGCGUCCGUGGGGGCGAUCUGCGCAGGAUCUUAGCAGGGGCCUCGGGUGGGCGGUUGCGAGCAAAUCACGUCAUGGGUGCACUAGGCGGUUCCUUCGGAGAAGAGGAACAGUAUCUGGGCGACCGUGACGCGCGGACGCUAGGAAAAUCUGGGAUGCGCUGGCCAUUGCGUGGGGGAAAUUUGUGGGCCGCAGGGGGAAAACGGCUUGGGCCGCGGCGCGUGCGAGCGUUCCUGCGUGGAGCGCGUAGCGUGCACGGGAGUGGGCCAGCGGGGGCGCUAGGCCGCAGCAGGCCAAGCAGGCGAGGGUGUG